CGCCGCGAUGCACGGGUGCAGGAAUCCUGUCCCCUUUUUUUUUUUCCUCAGAACCAAGGAGAUUUUCCCAGCCCACGACAUCCACAGCAGCUGACUCCUCUCCACAUGCAUCACAGAAGGCCAAAGAUGGGAUUUGAAACAGAAGAGGGAAACACUAAAGUGGCAAAAAUUGGUUUCCCCAGAAUGAGGACCCAGAAUAACAAAGCUCGUGGCUCCAGAGGAAUCCCUCCGUGACACACCGCUCUCCUUCCUCCCUCGGGCUGGGACACAAGAGGAAACCAAAGCACGCUCCCAUUUUCCCGGUGACUAUUAUUUCCUGUAUUAUGGUAAUAACUACAGCCAUCCUGCUGACAGCCCCUGUCCCCAAGCCAGGCCUGCUUACUGUGGGAUGGCAAAAAUGCUUCCCCACACACAGCCCUUUUCCUUCAUCCUGCCCCUGGUUUGGGCAGAGGCUUCCAGCAAUGCCAACAAGAUUGGAUCAGCAUGUUGUAAGUGCAUCUAAUUGGUUUUGUCCCCUGGUGUUUGGUGACUUUUAGGAUGGAUAUGGCUCUCAGAACAGUCAAGUAGAAUUUGUUACCUACAGGCUGGGGGUGACGUUUAGCACCUGGAUCUAACAGCAGGUCACUGUAUAGUUGUUCCUCUGCUGAGCCACUGAGCCUCUUCACUGUGGGUAAAUGCUGCACCUCUUCCAUCAUCCUUGUCCUCAGCAGCUCUGGUAGGUAAGGGCCCACCAGCCCACCCUGCAAACCUCAGGGUCCUCCUUGACCACCUUUAGCCACCCGUAAUUUGUAGGGUGCUGCAGAGUGGCUCCUGGCUGCACCUCAUUUCAAAGUGUCAUGUACAAGACACCCCAAAUCCACAGAGCUGGGACUGCAAUCAUUUCAGCCAGGCAGCCAACACACGUGUGAAAACAGUCCUUUUUCAUCUGUCAGGCUUUAAUCUCCAUGAAACCUGCUCGUGGUUUGGGGCUCUGUGAUGGAUUUUCAGUGGUCAAUACAGAAGGUUCACUUGCCCUUCAGAAUAAAGGCGAAGCGGGUGA
Molecule: long non-coding RNA, 1039 nt
Organism: Empidonax traillii (willow flycatcher)
Lineage: Eukaryota; Metazoa; Chordata; Aves; Passeriformes; Tyrannidae
Exons: 2
Source: RefSeq, a predicted model, not a curated record